This 245-nucleotide ribosomal RNA is filed under the name uncultured bacterium. RNAcentral describes it as "partial 16S ribosomal RNA". It matches the Rfam family "Bacterial small subunit ribosomal RNA", at positions 15 to 253 of the family's 1533-position model. The record is from RNAcentral.
GAUCCUGGCUCAGAUUGAACGCUGGCGGCAGGCCUAACACAUGCAAGUCGAACGGUAACAGAAAGCAGCUUGCUGCUUUGCUGACGAGUGGCGGACGGGUGAGUAAUGUCUGGGAAACUGCCCGAUGGAGGGGGAUAACUACUGGAGACGGUAGCUAAUACCGCAUAACGUCGCAAGACCAAAGAGGGGGGACCCUUUCGGGCCUCUUGCCAUCGGAUGUGCCCAGAUGGGAUUAGCUAGUAGGG